UUGGAGGGCAAGUCUGGUGCCAGCAGCCGCGGUAAUUCCAGCUCCAAUAGCGUAUAUUAAAGUUGUUGCAGUUAAAAAGCUCGUAGUUGAAUUUCGRAAUUUUUUUAUCGGUUAAAUCAACAGRUUUAUACUGAUUUUAAGAAUUUCUACCUUCUGGAGAACCWUAAUGUCAUUAAUUUGGUGUUUUGGGGAACCAGRACUGUUACCUUGAAAAAAUUAGAGUGUUUAAAGCAGGCUUAUGUCUGAAUAUAUUAGCAUGGAAUAAUGAAAUAGGACGGCAUGGUUCUAUUUUGUUGGUUUCUAGGAUCACCGUAAUGAUUAAUAGGGAUAGUUGGGGGCAUUAGUAUUCAAUUGUCAGAGGUGAAAUUCUUGGAUUUAUUGAAGACUAACUUCUGCGAAAGCAUUUGCCAAGGAUGUUUUCAUUAAUCAAGAACGAAAGUUAGGGGAUCGAAGACGAUCAGAUACCGUCGUAGUCUUAACCAUAAACUAUGCCGACUAGGAAUCGGACGAAGUUAAUUUUUUAAUGACUCGUUCGGCGCCUUACGGGAAAC
RNAcentral lists this ribosomal RNA (551 nucleotides) under uncultured Pacispora. Its description in RNAcentral is "SSU rRNA". It matches the Rfam family "Eukaryotic small subunit ribosomal RNA", at positions 550 to 1109 of the family's 1831-position model. The record is from RNAcentral. Lineage: Eukaryota; Fungi; Glomeromycota; Glomeromycetes; Diversisporales; Pacisporaceae.